UCUUAUCCAGAGUGGCGGAGGGACUGGCCCGAUGAAGCCCGGCAACUGGCCUGCGUGCGUGCGCAGGUGCUGUGCCAAAUCCAGCAGACAUUGAUCUGACAGAUAAGA
RNAcentral lists this non-coding RNA (108 nucleotides) under human gut metagenome. Its description in RNAcentral is "SAM riboswitch (S box leader)". It matches the Rfam family "SAM riboswitch aptamer (S box leader)". Rfam says of the family: The SAM riboswitch is found upstream of a number of genes which code for proteins involved in methionine or cysteine biosynthesis in Gram-positive bacteria. The SAM riboswitch acts at the level of transcription termination control. The predicted structure consists of a complex stem-loop region followed by a single stem loop terminator region. The record is from RNAcentral.